GGAGAGGUGGCUGAGCGGUUGAAGGCGCACGAUUGGAAUUCGUGUGGAGGAGUAAUCCUCUCGGGGGUUCGAAUCCCCCCCUCUCCG
This 87-nucleotide transfer RNA is filed under the name Phycisphaerales bacterium. Its description in RNAcentral is "tRNA-Ser". It matches the Rfam family "tRNA". Rfam says of the family: Transfer RNA (tRNA) molecules are approximately 80 nucleotides in length. Their secondary structure includes four short double-helical elements and three loops (D, anti-codon, and T loops). Further hydrogen bonds mediate the characteristic L-shaped molecular structure. tRNAs have two regions of fundamental functional importance: the anti-codon, which is responsible for specific mRNA codon recognition, and the 3' end, to which the tRNAs corresponding amino acid is attached (by aminoacyl-tRNA synthetases). tRNAs cope with the degeneracy of the genetic code in two manners: having more than one tRNA (with a specific anti-codon) for a particular amino acid; and 'wobble' base-pairing, i.e. permitting non-standard base-pairing at the 3rd anti-codon position. RNAcentral also lists the same sequence under 1 other name. Lineage: Bacteria; Pseudomonadati; Planctomycetota; Phycisphaerae; Phycisphaerales. The record is from RNAcentral.